AAAUUUGGGUUUUUUUUCGUUUCUUGGUUAUCGAGGUGCUCGGAACGGUUUCUCGCCAGAAAAUCGUGGCACGAGUCGCAGUCGGAUGAAGGUCAGCUAGUGAAGUGAAGUGCUCGGUCGAUAUCGUAUCGUAACGACAUUUCGCGUGUUGAUAAAACGAAAAAGUGCUGAGGAAUUUGGACAAGCUGUUUGGUACGUGCGAGCGUGUCUUGUUGGCGGAAAGUUGAAUGGGUUAGAUUGCGCAACACAGCAACAAAAAGAGUUGAACUAAAGAGGAUAGACUAUUUCGAUGAACGCAAAAUCUGUAUGACUGCAAGUGAUUUUAUUAGUGAAUAAUAGUGUAGAUUGCACGACUAAUGAUACAUCACUCCGAUCAUCAACCAUCGAUCGAUUGCUGGCGGAUCAGUGUGAACAGUGUUGCAACCUUCCAGUCUCCAGUGUUGUAGCACUGGAAAGUGAACUGUGUGACGUUGCAUUCGAUUAAAUGCUUAACAACCUGCGUCGAAUUUUGGAGCAGAAAGAGCCGUGAGCAAGAGAAAGGUGUGCUUUUGUUUUGUUUUGAACACGUGAAGAAGUGCGAACCUGAAAACGCAGUGCUGUGUGAGAGAGUAAUAAAAUUUUUCGAAGAGAGUGAGCGAAAUUCCACUAGCAAACGAUGGAUUCGAUGACUUCGCUCCGACGGUUGCAGCAGCCGCACAAGCUAACAUCCAUACAGAUAAGCGCCGAAACAACGGUUUAUACCAGCCUCGAUUCGAGCCUCGCGCUGUUGCAGCGUCAAAAGCCCCCCUCGGCCGAGGAAGAUAGUGCUAACAGUAACAGUCUCCCCCCUGCAGUGGAAUUGUUGUUGUCUGCCGCAGCCGCAGCCAGUGCCGUCGCAAACGCUUCAACCGAACUUGAUGUUGCAGCAGAAAAAGUUGUUAAACCAGAUUUGGAGAAAGAAGAAAGAGCCAAAGAGAGCAGCAGGCUAAAGUUGCAUAUACAGCACGACCAGCAAGAGCCAAACGACGAGCUACAAGUGCUGGUGGAUUCAUCCAGAUCAUCUGGGGCUCAACUCGAAGGCAGUGCCGUUGCCCUUGCCAGCGAUAGUUCGGUGGAGGCCGUUCACGAGAAACCAUCGUUACUUGUGCCUGUGGACGACGAUCAGGAGUCGCACGUCGUACGUAUUCAGAUCGUUCAAAAAGAGGACAACAACAACAACAACCGCAACGACAGUCCCGUUAAUUUUAUGACGACUUCCUUCGGGACUGCAGUGAUUAAUGUUACAAACAACAGCAGUGCAGUCGUGGUGAACAAUCCGUGUAAGUCGAAAGUGUCAAUCGUAUCGUUCGGACCACCACCCGAUCAGGAAGGGUCCCUCAGUCCAACACCACCACCGUCAACCGAGAUGGUCCAGAAGCAAACAAGUGCGAGUCCCCCGGCAGGCACUCCAAUGGCCAAAGUCGGGGACCUGGACGUUAAUAGCGCCACCUAUCUGUACUACAUGAUGUCAUCGGGUCAGUGUAGCCCCAGUGACACCCUGGAUAGUGGAACGUGUAGUGAUAUCGAGGUCACACCACCUCCUUUGCCGAAAAAAAUGUCCAAAUCACCGCAGCCGCAGAAACCACAGCACGCGACCACAACUUUGACGGUGAUAAACGGACGCUCUCCAACGCCGGUGGCCGAUAAGCCUAAUCAGGGUGACGGCGGCUGUGGCGGAUAUCGACAUCAGCGGGUCGGCUCGAACAGCUACACCACCAGUGAUAGUGACGAAUCCGAAUCCAGUCUGAGCUGUGAUUCGCUUAAUUUUGCCAAACUGUGCGGUAACGUGGGUGCGCUUAAACUCGGUGACAGUUCGAAUCCUCGUUCGCCGGAACCGUGCACCAAUCUUAGCGACAGUGAAAAUGAUAAUGGGAAUAACCCGCUAGGGUCCACUCUGAAGAAGCACAACAUUGUCUCGAUUCUGCCGGAUUCGCUACUAAAAGACAUUCGCGAACGUUCGAUUGUCGCCGCGAGUGGAAACGCGCGUUCGUUUUCGCCGCCGCCGCGUGACGAAAUCGUGACCACAACUCGUACCAUUCUUAUGGAGAAGAUUAACAGCCUGAAUAGUGUCCACGCGGGGGGGGCUGGCAGUGCUACUAGUGUGUGCUCAUCGUCACCAGUGAUGCCGGGACGUGGUGACGCCGGUAGCAACAACCGAUCGCUUAGCUUUGAAAAUGACAAGUUUUAUAAGUUUCACAUCAAUGAACAUUCGAAUCUGCCUCCGGAACGGAGCAGCAUCAACGGCCACGGCAAUAGUUGCUCUUCGUCGGUUAUCGACGAUGAUGAGAGCUUUGCCGGGUUUAAGGAUCUAACCAGCGGCACGUCUACGAUUCGCAGCAACAAGGGAACGGUGCGCGGGGUCAAGAACCGUGUGCGCAACGGAAUCGCGACGUUCUUGCAGAUGCAGCAGGCGAACAUAAAGAACUUCAAGGAGAAGGACGCCGGUAAGGUGGUCGUGUACACAACCAGCAUGGGCAUUGUUCGGGAGACCUACGCGAAGUGUGCGAACGUGAAGCAGAUUCUGAGGACACUGCUGGUCAAGUUCGAGGAGCGGGACGUCUUCAUGAGUAACGAUUACCAGCAGGAGAUCAAGGAGCGAAUGCAAAACGAGUCAAUCCAAGUACCGCAAGUGUUUGUCGACGGCCAGCAUGUGGGGGACGCAGACUGCAUCGAACGGUUGAACGAAUCCGGCGAGCUGCGAAAAAUGCUCAAACCUUACAAAGUAUCUACUCAAAUAGACUGGUUAAGCCCUCCCGCGUCCAUCCCUGCUCAUUCUGCUUUCUUUUUUUUUCAUUUUUUUCCUACUCCUAGUGCCUCGAGUCAUCCUUCACGUGCAAAACCUGCGGCGGCUACCGGCUCCUGCCCUGUCCGUCUUGUGGCGGCUCGAAAAAGUCCAUCCAUCGUAACCACUUCACGGCAGAGUUUAUCGCGCUCAAGUGCAUGAACUGCGACGAAGUGGGCCUGGUCAAGUGCCACAGCUGCUGAGACCCGUCGUCGUCCUAGAAUAGUGCAAAGCAGGGGUGUCGAUUGACGAGGUCCCAGUCCGCGUGGGUGUGAACCAAAUGGCGAAGAACUUCGGCAGCGUCAUGCUGGAGGGGCUGACAUGUGCUAACAUUUUGCAAUAUUAGUUUGAUAAGCCGUUUGCAGAAGUAGAGUUGUGAUAAACACUGUUCGUUCGAUAGUUGGUAGGCGCUCGCGCACACACUUUCAUACUCUAUUUGCUCAAGCAGUAUCCGAAUAUUGCCGUAAACUGAUACUGUAAAAAACAACUGCUGGUUCUAUAUUGAGUAUUAUCCGUAUCCGUAGUUCUAUAUGUAUCCGUACUUUAAGCAAGAAUCUACCACUUUUCAAUGAUGCGAAUUAUUUAUAACUAAUCGUCGUUAUAGCAUUCCUUGCUAGGAAUUCAGCUUUUUGCGUGAUUUUUUGGUGGUUGUUGUGGUUGGUCAGUAACAUAAGAAAUAAACUUUAUUAAGUAACCUAAAACUUGACAUUACAAUUGAAGACAUCACAUUUUGGUGUAUUUGAACUUGAGAUAGUAACAACGUAAGAUUGUAUCAACUAAAAACAAAAAUAGAAACAACAGCUUCAACUAACCUUCCACGUCUGCCAAAAGUCACGUAAACGGCCUGAAUUUUGAACCUAUGCUUGUUUGUAUAAUUAAUUUUUCUGCGUUUAGUUGACUGCGUAGGGCGUGCAAUGCGUAAAGUAACACAAAUAAAAAUAGAAGCAAUUAUUCGGUAAGGCAGCUGAUUUUAGGCAUUUUUGUUAUUACGUAAUGGCAAAACUAGUAGAUAAAUGUACAUAAUAGAAAGAUACGACGUGCUGAAUACGUUCUAUUUUCACAAUCAACUGGCUGAACCGAAGGCAAAAGUGUAGAGAUAAAACGACGGUUGAGUAUUCAAGUGUAAUUUUUAAUUGGCACACAGUUUCAGAAAAUAAAUAAACACAAAAAUUGAUUGCAACAUUACAUUAAGAAACAAACUAACUAUGGAGUACCCGCUUGGACGAAUAGAUCAAUCGUUAUCGAAAUAUAUUUUUGUGCAAAA
This is an RNA transcript of Wyeomyia smithii (pitcher-plant mosquito), 4064 nucleotides long. RefSeq lists it as uncharacterized. The transcript has 5 exons. Lineage: Eukaryota; Metazoa; Arthropoda; Insecta; Diptera; Culicidae. The record is from RefSeq and is a predicted model, not a curated record.